GAACGCUGGCGGCGUGCAUAAUACAUGCAAGUCGAACGCACAGCGAAAGGUGCUUGCACCUUUCAAGUGAGUGGCGAACGGGUGAGUAACACGUGGACAACCUGCCUCAAGGCUGGGGAUAACAUUUGGAAACAGAUGCUAAUACCGAAUGAAACUUAGUGUCGCAUGACACAAAGUUAAAAGGCGCUUUGGCGUCACCUAGAGAUGGAUCCGCGGUGCAUUAGUUAGUUGGUGGGGUAAAGGCCUACCAAGACAAUGAUGCAUAGCCGAGUUGAGAGACUGAUCGGCCACAUUGGGACUGAGACACGGCCCAAACUCCUACGGGAGGCUGCAGUAGGGAAUCUUCCACAAUGGGCGAAAGCCUGAUGGAGCAACGCCGCGUGUGUGAUGAAGGCUUUCGGGUCGUAAAGCACUGUUGUAUGGGAAGAACAGCUAGAAUAGGGAAUGAUUUUAGUUUGACGGUACCAUACCAGAAAGGGACGGCUAAAUACGUGCCAGCAGCCGCGGUAAUACGUAUGUCCCGAGCGUUAUCCGGAUUUAUUGGGCGUAAAGCGAGCGCAGACGGUUGAUUAAGUCUGAUGUGAAAGCCCGGAGCUCAACUCCGGAAUGGCAUUGGAAACUGGUUAACUUGAGUGCAGUAGAGGUAAGUGGAACUCCAUGUGUAGCGGUGGAAUGCGUAGAUAUAUGGAAGAACACCAGUGGCGAAGGCGGCUUACUGGACUGUAACUGACGUUGAGGCUCGAAAGUGUGGGUAGCAAACAGGAUUAGAUACCCUGGUAGUCCACACCGUAAACGAUGAACACUAGGUGUUAGGAGGUUUCCGCCUCUUAGUGCCGAAGCUAACGCAUUAAGUG
This 854-nucleotide ribosomal RNA is filed under the name Leuconostoc mesenteroides. RNAcentral describes it as "bacterial SSU rRNA". It matches the Rfam family "Bacterial small subunit ribosomal RNA", at positions 31 to 866 of the family's 1533-position model. Lineage: Bacteria; Bacillati; Bacillota; Bacilli; Lactobacillales; Lactobacillaceae. The record is from RNAcentral.